Molecule: ribosomal RNA, 468 nt
Filed under: uncultured bacterium
Lineage: Bacteria
Description: partial 16S ribosomal RNA
Rfam family: Bacterial small subunit ribosomal RNA
Source: RNAcentral
GACGAACGCUGGCGGCGUGCUUAACACAUGCAAGUCGAACGGAAAGGCCCUGCUUUUGUGGGGUGCUCGAGUGGCGAACGGGUGAGUAACACGUGAGUAACCUGCACUUGACUUUGGGAUAACUUCAGGAAACUGGGGCUAAUAUAGGAUAGGAGCUACUGCUGCAUGGUGGGGGAUGGAAAGAUUCGGCGGUUGGGGAUGGACUCGCGGGUUAUCAGCUUGUUGGUGGGGUAGUGGAUGACCAAGGCUUUGACGGGUAGCAGGCCUGAGCGGGUGACCGGCCACAUUGGGACUGAGAUACGGCCCAGACUCCUACGGGAGGCAGCAGUGGGGAAGAUUGCACAAGGGGCGGAAGCCUGAUGCAGCAACGCCGCGUGCGGGAUGACGGCCUUCGGGUUGUAAACCGCUUUCGCCUGUGACGAAGCGUGAGUGACGGUAAUGGGUAAAGAAGCACCGGCUAACUACGGG